UGCUGGAGCUCCCUCAUCAUGGUUUUGGGCAGUAGCACUACUCUGGAGAAAAAUGGGCAUCUAAAUGCUGUCUCACUGAAAGAGCCACCACAUGAUUUCCAAGAGAUGGUGGUUUCUCUAUCGUGCAUUCUUCUAAAUGAACUGAAGACAAAAGUCAAUGUUUCUCUGCCAUCAAAUGUAUUUUCUGGUCCUUUACAGCUUGAGGCUUGUCUUAUCCUCACAGUGCAAGCAGUGCAGCAGAUGCUCCUAAAUGACCUUACAUACUUGAGUUCCUUUCUGGAAAUAACGCUGGCUUUCGGGGUAAGUCCUAGGAAUCUUCAACUCUAGUAAAUUAAAACAAUGCUUAAAAUGCAAU
RNAcentral lists this long non-coding RNA (355 nucleotides) under Chelonoidis abingdonii (Abingdon island giant tortoise). Its description in RNAcentral is "lncRNA (ENSCABG00000020929.1)". The record is from RNAcentral. Lineage: Eukaryota; Metazoa; Chordata; Testudines; Testudinidae.